GUGGGAGGGGGCUUGCUCCCGAUGGCGCUGUAUCAGUCAGCAGAUGCAGUGCCUGGUACUCAGCAAUCGGGAGCAAGCCCCCUCCCAC
This 88-nucleotide non-coding RNA is filed under the name Pseudomonas sp. SJZ103. The record is from RNAcentral. Lineage: Bacteria; Pseudomonadati; Pseudomonadota; Gammaproteobacteria; Pseudomonadales; Pseudomonadaceae.